This 317-nucleotide ribosomal RNA is filed under the name uncultured bacterium. RNAcentral's name for it is "bacterial SSU rRNA". It matches the Rfam family "Bacterial small subunit ribosomal RNA", at positions 355 to 696 of the family's 1533-position model. The record is from RNAcentral.
UGGGGAAUAUUGUCCAAUGGGCGGAAGCCUGAUGCAGCGACGCCGCGUGAGGGAUGACGGCCUUCGGGUUGUAAACCUCUUUCAGCAGGGACGCGGUACCUGCAGAAGAAGCGCCGGCCAACUACGUGCCAGCAGCCGCGGUAAGACGUAGGGCGCGAGCGUUGUCCGGAUUUAUUGGGCGUAAAGAGCUCGUAGGCGGCUUGUCGCGUCGACUGUGAAAAUCCGCGGCUCAACCGCGGGCCUGCAGUCGAUACGGGCAGGCUAGAGUUCGGUAGGGGAGACUGGAAUUCCUGGUGUAGCGGUGAAAUGCGCAGAUA